CUCUCCUACAAAGGCAUGUCUGUAGAAACUUUCUUUGAAUUUGUAAGAAUUGGAGGCAAAGAAAUAUGGAUGUGGAGAUGUCUAGGGCCAGCUUAUUCCCCACAGACUCAAGGUCAACCAUCCCACUUGG
Molecule: small nucleolar RNA, 130 nt
Filed under: Carlito syrichta (Philippine tarsier)
Lineage: Eukaryota; Metazoa; Chordata; Mammalia; Primates; Tarsiidae
Description: Small nucleolar RNA SNORA38 (ENSTSYG00000019641.2)
Rfam family: Small nucleolar RNA SNORA38
About the family: ACA38 is a member of the H/ACA class of snoRNA that guide the sites of modification of uridines to pseudouridines.
Source: Rfam by way of RNAcentral